GCAAGAACUUCAUGUCUAAAACACCAAAAGCAAUGGCAACAAAAGCCAAAAUGGACAAAUGGGAUCUAAUUAAACUAAAGAGCUUCUGCACAGCAAAAGAAACUACCAUCAGAGUGAACAGGCAACCUACAGAAUGGGAGAAAAUUUUUGCAAUCUACUCAUCUGACAAAGGGCUAAUAUCCAGAAUCUACAAAGAACUCAGACAAAUUUACAAGAAAAAAACAAACAACCAUGCAAAUCAAUAAAUGUAAUCCAUCACAUAAACAGAACCAAUGACAAAAAUCACGAUUAUCUCAAUAGAUGCAGAAAAGGCCUUCAACAAAAUUCAACACCCCUUCAUACUAAAAACUCUCAACAGACUAGGUAUCAAUAGAAUGUAUCUCAAAAUAAUAAGAGCUAUUUAUGAUAAACCCACAUCAAUAUCAUCUGGAAUGGGCAAAAACUGGAAGCAUUCCCUUUGAAAACCAGCAUAAGACAAGGAUGCCUUCUCUCACUACUCCUAUUCAGUAUAGUAUUGGAAGUUCUGGCCAGGACAAUCAGGCAAGAGAAAGAAAUAAAGCGUAUUCA
RNAcentral lists this long non-coding RNA (567 nucleotides) under Homo sapiens (human). RNAcentral describes it as "non-protein coding lnc-BECN2-9:1". Lineage: Eukaryota; Metazoa; Chordata; Mammalia; Primates; Hominidae. The record is from RNAcentral.